Molecule: non-coding RNA, 86 nt
Filed under: pig gut metagenome
Description: Purine riboswitch
Rfam family: Purine riboswitch aptamer (bases 16-80)
About the family: Riboswitches are metabolite binding domains within certain messenger RNAs that serve as precision sensors for their corresponding targets. Allosteric rearrangement of mRNA structure is mediated by ligand binding, and this results in modulation of gene expression.
Source: RNAcentral
AUACUUACAUAUACAUCGUAUAAUCCUUUGGAUAUGGCAAGGGAGUUUCUACAUUGCUACCGUAAAUAGCAUUACUAUGAAUGAGC